RNAcentral lists this ribosomal RNA (763 nucleotides) under uncultured Streptococcus sp. RNAcentral describes it as "bacterial SSU rRNA". It matches the Rfam family "Bacterial small subunit ribosomal RNA", at positions 28 to 776 of the family's 1533-position model. The record is from RNAcentral. Lineage: Bacteria; Bacillati; Bacillota; Bacilli; Lactobacillales; Streptococcaceae.
GACGAACGCGGCGGCGUGCCUAAUACAUGCAAGUAGAAACGCUGAAGAGAGGAGCUUGCUCUUCUGGAUGAGUUGCGAACGGGUGAGUAACGCGUAGGUAACCUGCCUUGUAGCGGGGGAUAACUAUGGAAACGAUAGCUAAUACCGCAUAACAAUGAGUGACACAUGUCAUUUAUUUGAAAGGGGCAAUUGCUCCACUACAAGAUGGACCUGCGUUGUAUUAGCUAGUAGGUGAGGUAACGGCUCACCUAGGCGACGAUACAUAGCCGACCUGAGAGGGUGAUCGGCCACACUGGGACUGAGACACGGCCCAGACUCCUACGGGAGGCAGCAGUAGGGAAUCUUCGGCAAUGGGGGCAACCCUGACCGAGCAACGCCGCGUGAGUGAAGAAGGUUUUCGGAUCGUAAAGCUCUGUUGUAAGUCAAGAACGAGUGUGAGAGUGGAAAGUUCACACUGUGACGGUAGCUUACCAGAAAGGGACGGCUAACUACGUGCCAGCAGCCGCGGUAAUACGUAGGUCCCGAGCGUUGUCCGGAUUUAUUGGGCGUAAAGCGAGCGCAGGCGGUUUGAUAAGUCUGAAGUUAAAGGCUGUGGCUCAACCAUAGUUCGCUUUGGAAACUGUCAAACUUGAGUGCAGAAGGGGAGAGUGGAAUUCCAUGUGUAGCGGUGAAAUGCGUAGAUAUAUGGAGGAACACCGGUGGCGAAAGCGGCUCUCUGGUCUGUAACUGACGCUGAGGCUCGAAAGCGUGGGGAGCGAACAGG